RNAcentral lists this ribosomal RNA (406 nucleotides) under uncultured bacterium. RNAcentral describes it as "bacterial SSU rRNA". It matches the Rfam family "Bacterial small subunit ribosomal RNA", at positions 173 to 597 of the family's 1533-position model. The record is from RNAcentral.
GAAACAUAAGUGGCAUCACUGAGUUUUCAAAGAAUUUCGGUGGAGGAUGACUUCGCGGCCUAUCAGCUAGUUGGUGAGGUAAUGGCUCACCAAGGCAACGACUGGUAGCCGGCCUGAGAGGGCGACCGGCCACACUGGGACUGAGACACGGCCCAGACUCCUACGGGAGGCAGCAGUGGGGAAUAUUGGGCAAUGGAGGAAACUCUGACCCAGCGACGCCGCGUGCGGGAUGAAGGCCUUCGGGUUGUAAACCGCUUUCAGUAGGGAAGAAUUGAAAGUGACGGUACCUACUAAAGAAGCACCGGUUAACUAUGUGCCAGCAGCCGCGUUAAUACAUAGGGUGCAAGCGUUGUCCGGAAUUAUUGGGCGUAAAGAGCUCGUAGGUCGUUUGUUACGUCGGAUGUGA